Molecule: ribosomal RNA, 468 nt
Filed under: uncultured bacterium
Lineage: Bacteria
Description: partial 16S ribosomal RNA
Rfam family: Bacterial small subunit ribosomal RNA
Source: RNAcentral
GACGAACGCUGGCGGCGUGCUUAACACAUGCAAGUCGAACGGAAACGCCCUGCUUUUUUGCGGUGCUCGAGUGGCGAACGGGUGAGUAACACGUGAGUAACCUGCCCUUGACUUUGGGAUAACUUCAGGAAACUGGGUCUAAUACCGGAUAGGAUCUCCUGCUGCAUGGUGGGCGUUGGAUAGUUUCGGCGGUUGGGGAUGGACUCGCGGCUUAUCAGCUUGUUGGUUGGGUAGUGGCUUACCAAGGCUUUGACGGGUAGCCGGCCUGAGAGGGUGACCGGAGACAAUAGAACUGAGAUACGGCACAGACUGGAACGGGAGGCAGGGGUGGGGAGUAUUACACAAUGGGAGGAAGCAUGAUGCAGAAACGCCGCGUGCGGGAAGACGGGAUGCGGGUAGUAAACCGCUGCCGGCUGUGACGAAGCGUGAGUGACGGUAAUGGGUAAAGAAGCACCGGCUAACUACGUG